This 690-nucleotide ribosomal RNA is filed under the name Chryseobacterium indologenes. RNAcentral describes it as "bacterial SSU rRNA". It matches the Rfam family "Bacterial small subunit ribosomal RNA", at positions 60 to 750 of the family's 1533-position model. Lineage: Bacteria; Pseudomonadati; Bacteroidota; Flavobacteriia; Flavobacteriales; Weeksellaceae. The record is from RNAcentral.
AGCCGAGCGGUAGAGUCUCUUCGGAGACUUGAGAGCGGCGCACGGGUGCGGAACACGUGUGCAACCUGCCUUUAUCUGGGGGAUAGCCUUUCGAAAGGAAGAUUAAUACCCCAUAAUAUACUGGAUGGCAUCAUCUGGUAUUGAAAACUCCGGUGGAUAGAGAUGGGCACGCGCAAGAUUAGAUAGUUGGUGAGGUAACGGCUCACCAAGUCAGCGAUCUUUAGGGGGCCUGAGAGGGUGAUCCCCCACACUGGUACUGAGACACGGACCAGACUCCUACGGGAGGCAGCAGUGAGGAAUAUUGGACAAUGGGUGAGAGCCUGAUCCAGCCAUCCCGCGUGAAGGACGACGGCCCUAUGGGUUGUAAACUUCUUUUGUAUAGGGAUAAACCUAGAUACGUGUAUCUAGCUGAAGGUACUAUACGAAUAAGCACCGGCUAACUCCGUGCCAGCAGCCGCGGUAAUACGGAGGGUGCAAGCGUUAUCCGGAUUUAUUGGGUUUAAAGGGUCCGUAGGCGGAUCUGUAAGUCAGUGGUGAAAUCUCACAGCUUAACUGUGAAACUGCCAUUGAUACUGCAGGUCUUGAGUGUUGUUGAAGUAGCUGGAAUAAGUAGUGUAGCGGUGAAAUGCAUAGAUAUUACUUAGAACACCAAUUGCGAAGGCAGGUUACUAAGCAACAACUGACGCUGAU